Molecule: ribosomal RNA, 492 nt
Filed under: uncultured bacterium
Lineage: Bacteria
Description: partial 16S ribosomal RNA
Rfam family: Bacterial small subunit ribosomal RNA
Source: RNAcentral
AGUGAACGCUGGCGGUAGGCCUAACACAUGCAAGUCGAACGGAAGCACAGUAAGAGCUUGCUCUUACGGGUGGCGAGUGGCGGACGGGUGAGGAAUACAUCGGAAUCUACUUUUUCGUGGGGGAUAACGUAGGGAAACUUACGCUAAUACAGCAUACGACCUACGGGUGAAAGCAGGGGAUCUUCGGACCUUGCGCGAUUGAAUGAGCCGAUGUCGGAUUAGCUAGUUGGCGGGGUAAAGGCACACCAAGGCGACGAUCCGUAGCUGGUCUGAGAGGAUGAUCAGCCACACUGGAACUGAGACACGGUCCAGACUCCUACGGGAGGCAGCAGUGGGGAAUAUUGGACAAUGGGCGCAAGCCUGAUCCAGCCAUACCGCGUGGGUGAAGAAGGCCUUCGGGUUGUAAAGCCCUUUUGUUGGGAAAGAAAAGCAGCAGGUUAAUACCCCGCUGUUCUGACGGUACCCAAAGAAUAAGCACCGGCUAACUUCGUG